UCCAGUGUGGUUUAGUGGUUUGAGAGUUGGACUAUGACUCUAGAGACCAGGGUUCAAUUCUCAGCUCUGCUA
Non-coding RNA from Phrynosoma platyrhinos (Desert horned lizard), 72 nucleotides. The record is from the annotation of a GenBank genome assembly. Lineage: Eukaryota; Metazoa; Chordata; Lepidosauria; Squamata; Phrynosomatidae.